Molecule: transfer RNA, 64 nt
Filed under: Euproctis similis
Lineage: Eukaryota; Metazoa; Arthropoda; Insecta; Lepidoptera; Erebidae
Description: tRNA-Cys
Source: RNAcentral
AGUCUUAUAUUCAAAAAUGAUAUAAAAUUGCAAAUUUUAAGGAGUAAAAAUAUUACUAAGACUU